Molecule: ribosomal RNA, 484 nt
Filed under: uncultured bacterium
Lineage: Bacteria
Description: partial 16S ribosomal RNA
Rfam family: Bacterial small subunit ribosomal RNA
Source: RNAcentral
AUUGAACGCUGGCGGCAGGCCUAACACAUGCAAGUCGAGCGGAUGAAGGGAGCUUGCUCCUGGAUUCAGCGGCGGACGGGUGAGUAAUGCCUAGGAAUCUGCCUGGUAGUGGGGGAUAACGUCCGGAAACGGGCGCUAAUACCGCAUACGUCCUGAGGGAGAAAGUAGGGGAUCUUCGGACCCCACGCUAUCAGAUGAGCCUAGGUCGGAUUAGCUAGUUGGUGGGGUAAAGGCCUACCAAGGCGACGAUCCGUAACUGGUCUGAGAGGAUGAUCAGUCACACUGGAACUGAGACACGGUCAAGACUCCUACGGGAGGCAGCAGUGGGGAAUAUUGGACAAUGGGCGAAAGCCUGGUCCAGCCAUGCCGCGUGUGUGAAGAAGGUCUUCGGAUUGUAAAGCACUUUAAGUUGGGAGGAAGGGCAGUAAGUUAAUACCUUGCUGUUUUGACGUUACCAACAGAAUAAGCAGCGGCUAACUUCGUG